GACAUCUAUAUUAAGGUAUAAAGGUCAAACUUACCUUUUGAACAUUGGGGUUGCUGAUAAUCUGCCUUUUGAUGCUGUUCUAGAAAGAGACCGACCAGUUCUUUUUGAUUUGUUGGAGCCAUAACAAAGCAGGCAGUGUAACGCUGUGGUAAACAGAAUGCAGGCCAUGCAAUCAAAUGAGCUCCUUUUCAAUGAGGAGUUGGCGACCACACCUGGGAAGUCUCGGAAAACCCACAGACAGAGAAGGCACAAGAAAUUCCAAAAGACAGUGACGACACCACCAACCAGCACUGAGCUAGAGUUGCCACUAGGGUUUCAAGUUCCAGGUAAUAUAAGUGAUAUGCAGAAAACUGAGCCGUCUUUGGUCUCUCUUUUCCAGAAAGCGAAGGAGGAGGAGUCAGAAGCUGAGUUAGACAUCAUAAGUGAUGAGAAUAUCCUGCAAAAUGGCAUCCUCUAUUGUCAACAACAAUCAACGUUGCAGCUCGUGGUUCCCCAAGCAGAUAGAAAUGCCAUACUUGCCUUGGGGCACUCAGUUCCCUGGGCUGGCCACCUGGGCCCACAAAACCACAGCUCGCAUUAAAAAACCAUUUCCACUGGCCUGGCCUGCACAGACAUGUUGCUCAGGUUUGUGAAAGUUGCCCUCAGUGCCAAAUAACAUCUGCUAAAACACACCCCAGAGCUCCACUUCAAACACUACCCAUUAUUGUGUUAGGAAUCAGUAAGGUUCUUCUUCAUCCGUAUCUGUCUGUUUUGUUGCGUACUUUGGACUGGUUUUCAUGGGGAGAACAGAGACUGGGGUUUAAGCUGUUUACUGGUUUGUCCGAUAGUCUUGAACACACCUUUCCUGAGGUGCGCUCAGAGCUGUGCCCUGUUGCUUUAAAUGACGUAAUACGACAGGUGAAGUGGCAGCUGAUGGAGGACCCGUAUGGACGCCAACUUCGACACUGUCGGACCUAACAGAUGACCCACUCCCAUGAACUUGUUUUAGAAACCAGCUGGCUAGCUUGUAACAAUUGGCACCCCAUUUGAGUGCCUUGGGAUGGACAUUUUUGGUCCUGUAGAGAGAACCAUAGCAGGGAACCAUUAUAUGCUGGUUAUAACAGACUAUGCCACCCAGUAUCCAGAAGUCUUUCCACUAAAAUCCAUAAAGGCAAAAGUAGUUGAUCUCUGUUUGGUACAAUACUUUUGAAGGGUGGGUGGACCUGAUGCUUUCCCUGGGGAUCAUUGAGUGGUGUAACCCAGUGAUGCACAUGCCAAAGAAGGAUGGAAGAAUAAGGUUCUGCGUUGAUUUCAGGAUACCCUGAGUCUUUGGGACCUUCACUAUCUGGUCAUGAUUCACUGUUGGCCCGUUCUGGUCGCUCAUGACUUUGAACUCACCACAGAGUGCUGCUCUGCCUCCAUGGUGGCCCAAGACAAAAGCUGCAUGAAGAUGAUUACACUGACCAAACAAGACUACUGUCAGAUCAACUCACUGUAAAUACGAUUUCUGCCCUCGAUGACUGUUUGUUACUCUCUGGAUGUGUCGUCAGUCUCCUGUCUCGUCCAGACAAAAAUAAACAAGGAAGAUAAUUAUGAUUCCAAAGGGGUGGAGAAUCUGAAGUCCCUGGUUUCCCACCACCGUCAGCUCCUGGACCUGCGCAAGAAAGAGGACUGCAGACUUUCACGUUCAGUCUUUAAGGUGUGUCUUCUGUGGAAAAACCCAUUUUACAAUAUACAAGUGUGUAAGAGAUGUUACAGGUGAACUCAUGAUAAGAUACGAUAUUCAUAUCUAUUUCUAACCGUAAAGUACUGAUGGUGUAAUGUUUAACCUUAUAAAGCAAAUGGACUGUAAAAAAAGGUUCAGGUGACAUUUGUCCCCAAUUAACUUUGUUAACUCUGGACACCUUGGUUGCCAAAAUGUACACACAAAAUCUGCAAUAAAAUGAUCAAUAUUUGCUUUUGUAUUUUGCUGUUUUUGAGCUUCUUGUUGUGCAGAUCUUGUUUUUACUUUCAUUGCCUGCUCAAAAACUAAUCAAGAAUGUGCUUCAGAGGCUUUGCCCGAGAACAGGUACUUAACUUUAUUUGGAUGCAUUUCUGUGUUUCCUCAAUUUUGUAAAAUAUUUCUAUUAAUAUUUUGUGUUCAAACUAUAUUAAAAAAUGCCCAUUGUUUCACAAAGGCUCAUCUUCUCUCUCCAGAUGCACUCAUAAAACAUUUAACCGGUUUCCACCGGUGGCGCUGCUCUGUAGUGACCCCGGCUGCCUCGUGCUAAGAACCCAAAGUAUUUAUAUACUAUAUUAUCGUUUGAUGUGAAGAAUGAUGUUGAUGGUUUUUUAUGACUGCAGCACAGGUGAAGAGCCAAAGACAAAUUUCUCACUUUGUGAGACAAUAAAGUUAAUUUUAAUCUUGAUCUUAAAACCAUCCCCUGUGACCACUUCUGCUCCCUGCA
Labrus bergylta (ballan wrasse) is the source of this 2426-nucleotide non-coding RNA. Lineage: Eukaryota; Metazoa; Chordata; Actinopteri; Labriformes; Labridae. The record is from RefSeq and is a predicted model, not a curated record.